ACUAUUCCUGCUUCUCAGUAUGGGGAGGAUAAAGGCUGGUAGCCACGUCUGGGGGAUUUGAGCACUUCUCAGGGCACCUUUUUUAUUGUAUACUUUGAUUAUAUCUCAAAUAGAAGAUUUUCUGAACUGAGGGCUUUUAAAGUUUUUAUUUUAUGAGAUACCUUUCAAAGUACUUUUCUGUCAGUGUAAAAAUAAAGCAGAUCUUGUGUGAAGUUGCAAUAUAUAAACAGGGUGCUUGGCUUGUUGAUAAACUUUGCUCAUUCAACAAAGAAUUUCCAAACAGAAGCAGCUACUUCAACUGGCAGCAGCCUCAGAAGACUAAAUAGCCCAGGUUUACCCAGAGAAAUUCUCUUCAUCUUAAACAAAAAAGCCUCAGUGUUUUCUGUAUUGACUCUACAAUGAAAUUCAGAAACUAUAAACUUGGAUGAGACGCUGAGCAAGUGGAUCCAGUGGGAGAUGUCCCUGCCCGUGGCAGGGGGUUGGAACUGGAUGGGCUUUAAGGUCACUUCUGACCCAAACCAUUCUAUGAACUUGAGCUGGGAGUUUUCAGCUGUGCUUACUCUGCAGUCUUAACAAUGACGAUCCCAAAACUGAUUUAGGUUUAUGAUGUCUUUCUCAAAGCCGCUGGGUUGUUCUGUCUGCACUCAUCAAAAUUCAGGAAAGACUGACGACAGGUAAGAGUUACUGACAGCAGAUGCGUGCAGGAGCCUGGUUCCUCAGGGAAGUUCAGCAAACGUAUCUUCACCUACCUAAAUAUUAUGGACCUGGAAGGCUGUACUCUCUUGGCUUUUCUCAUCUCUUUAUAUUUCUUCAGGUAUUACAGUGCAUUUUGUGGUGUUUACAAGACAGACACAGAACAAGUGCACUUGCCCAAACUCCAGUGAGAAGAUCCAGCCAUCGGACUUCAUGGAUUCUUCUGAUAAAGGCAAGCUUUUUUUCUCCAUAUUUCUGUCAAGACGAAGAUUUUUGCCAAUGCGAUUGACGGCAUUACCAGACAGUAUUAGACAAAAAUAGCUAGAUCUAACUUUGCCUGGUAAGACAGCAAUCAGCAGGCACUUGGGCUAAAGAAAACGACCAGAAUUAAAGGACUUUCUCCAGAUCCAGACUAAAAAGAUAGGGCGGAGAGAGGCUAAGGACCUCUCCCUUAGACAAAGCAAUAACCAGUAAAUAUUUAACUUGAAAUUCUUGCUGAUUAUGAGGCAGAUACAAUUAUGAAAACACAACUCUUUCCAGUUCACUGGUACGUGGGUUUAAAAGAAUGGUAAAGAACUUAACUCACCAACACACAGCUCUGCCCACUGCCUCCGCUGUGCUGUGAAAUGCUCACCACGGCUGCGUUUGGUGCCGCUCCCCCACCAGCAGCACAGCCACACUGUGGAUGCACAUCUCGCCUGCGCUCUAAAGACUGUACCCUCAUCGGUAUGAAACCCCCUCGCAGCGAGACAACUUCUGCUGAAUUAAAUCUGGUGCAGACCAGGCCUCGGAGGGCGCUUACGCCACCCUGCAUCCUUCAGCCUGUGGAAUUGCUCUCCUGCUCAACUGAUUUGAGAAAGAGGAAAAUCAGUAGGAGAAGGGGAGGAGAGAAAGGUGUUGAGGCGGGAGGGGAUUUUCCUGGGUUGCCCUUAGCUCUCAUGACUGUCUCUGAGAUGAGAUCAAAUGGACACUUUCCCAAGCACACAUCAUCACGGGGGAGAGUGGGGGAUUUCCUGGGUGUCCGUUUCAGGGUUUUUUUAAGGCAACAUUCCUGUGCCUGCCAUGGAUCCUCAAUUAGAGUUAUCUAGAGGUUGUUUUUUUCUUUUCUAUUUACUCACCUCUAUCUGAGAUUAGCACCCAUACUUUGUUUUAAGAGAAGAUGGAUGGGUGGUAAGUGUGCGCUCCAAUUCAUCUUAAAGGCUUGUUAAAAGCCAAUUUGCAGAGUCACUCAGAUUUCACACCAUUUCCUCAAUCCUUGUGAACGAGUUACUUAUUAACAUAGAGGCUAAUCAGCAAAGAACGCUUCCCUGCUUCUUCCUUCUCUCUCUUGGUUUCCUGAGAAUUACAACCUACAAGGGCAGACAGAAAAUGGUUCCAAUUCAAGUCAACCAGUGGAGUUAGAGCAGGCACAGCCGGCUCCUUCCAAGCUGGACACAUUGCAAUGGCAACAACCUGAAAUUAUAAACCAACUGGUUCAUUUUUUCCUGUUGUUUCUGUAUUAUCUAGUAGUUUUGGCAAGGAGUCAUAUGCCAAGGGUUGAAAAAAAAACAUUCAGAGGUUUUCAGUGGCAAAGACAGAGGAUGCAGAAUCUGCUACCGUACCUCUAUGUUACUCCACCAGUCUGUUUUGGAGCGAGGGAGGGGAUUAACAUGAAGUUGAGGAUAAGGAAAAUAUUUUGGUGCUGUGAUUCAAACACAAAUCAAUACUUGGACUCCAUUUAAAGAUCUUGUGUGAAACAUCGUAUAUUUCUCACAGAAAGGAGGUGACAACCAAGGGGUACAACACUGAAGAGCCAGAAGAAAUCAUAUGCACCGUUCCUCCUCAAGUUAGAUCCCCAAGAGCAUUAAAGUUCUAUGAUUUCUCAGAAGCGCAGGCAGUAUGAAUGCUCCUUAUGUAAGGAUGAAUCUCAUCUUGUAUAGUGGACUGUUCUGAUAUGAAUUCUUAUCCCCUACAGAAGGACCAGGUUGUCUGCAAAAUACUGACUGGAUUAAUCUGUCGAGGUCUCAAAGACUCGCAGGGUAAGCAAAGACCGUGAAUCUGUACAUGCAGUUCAGACAGGAGGCAUUAAAUGUCACUAGAGGAGGGCAGGACGUGCACUGAAUUUAGUCUGCAAAGAUGCACUUUGUUUUAGAUGUGAGCAAUCCCAGUAUCUGCUUGUAGAAUCAAUUCUUUGAUGCAGCAAGCGAUAUCACCGCUCGUAGCGCUGAAGCUUGUAAUUUUUACUAAAGCAGAUGGAGUGGACUACCUGGCUCAAAUAUGAUGUCACUAAGGUAAGACUCUUUCUGUAAGAGGUUGCCUCGAGCAUUUGCUCCUCUGCCACCCCAGGAAACUUAUUUAAAGCUGACCUCUGUCAUAUGAGAGAAGUACUUCUUUCCUUCCCAGGUUCUAAUCAAAAUGUUAUCAGUUCUCAUACUCGAUGCGGUGGUGGACUUACUUCUACACGAGUUGCUACACAGCUAGAAUGAACUCUUGUGGGAUGGUAGCUCUUUGUGUGCUUGUGAGCAGGGUAAGCAUUCCAUGGUAGUUCCUUGACUGGGUUAAAUUCCUUUGUUUCUUAAUGGAAUGAUUAGAGUGAUUAACCUACCUGUUCUAUAAGCUGAAAGCACAGCCUAUAACAGGGCAGGUUAUGAGGUUGAAAGUUCAAAGGCUGUUCAACCAUGGAGGUGUAAUUGAACUGUAAUUGGGAAGAAUGACCUUUACAAGCAGUAUCCUUCCCUAACCACCUCUCACAGCCAAGCACGGUAACCGACAAGCAAAUGUUUCAGCCUCCUGGACAAGACGUGCCAUGCAAAUACAUCACAGCUUUAACCACUGGUUGGAGAGAAGGGAGCAUUACUGUGCUUUUGAGGUGACAUGAGUAUUGCCUGAUAAAGCUGAUGUGUGCUGUCUCACCUUCUUCACAGCAACAUCAAGGUUCAGUAGCACCUAACAGAGCAGCGUCCAACAUCUUUUUAGGAAGUAUUUAUGAUUAUAGCCAUUUAUUGUACGUAAAAAAUACUUGUUAAUAUGAUAGCCAACGUCCUUACCCUCUUGUCCAAAUUGUUCCACUUUGGCCUAAAUUGUGGUACAGUGUCUUUCUGUGAGAGCUCCUCCAGAGGCAUGUUGUUGUUUGGUUCACCCUUUAAACAUCGUUACCAGACAGUGUUAGAGUAGAUCCAGAAAAUCCAGCACUGUCUAGUAAGAUGCCCACAGAGGACCAGAGUCUGUCCAGCAGUUGGAGAAAUGAAGCAUCUAUUAAUGAUUCCACAUUCUUCAGGAUGUCAGUGUCCCAUAAAAACUAACAGAAAUGGCUCGAGACAGAUUGUCUGAUGUCACUGGAUAUGUAGAUAAGGUGAUGGUUGAUAUUAAAGGAUAGCUUGAAAAUCAGGGUGAAUUUCAGGAAACAAAUAUAGCAUUAAAAAUGGUUUAAUAAUGAUCUAAAAUAGAAAACAUAAUGUUAAAUUCUACUUCAACAUGAUGUAAAAUCAGUAAGAUUUUUCAUGUUUUCUAUCUUGGCUUCCUCACUCCCUGGGAUUCACAAAAACACCAACAGAUUCAAGUCUUUCCAAGCAAUUAAAAAGACAUUGGAGAGUGGGGAUGUAGAGAAAACAGCAUUACACACAAAAAACUGACAAAGAUGGCCUAACAUUUAACACAAUUAUUUGCUUUUACAAGAAAUACUUUAUUGUACUGACUUUAGUUUAAGGGCUAUAGACAAAUGUAAGUCAAAUAAUAAGUGGCAGCGACAGGACGCUUGUGUGCAUAGUUGUUAGACAGUAACGUCAUAAAGCAUAGCAAUAAAGGUAAUAAAGGUAUCUGUGUGCUUUGUUUUCUUUUUAUCAGGAGAAGGGGAAGUUUGCACAUUGUGCAGCAAGGAAGGUAAAAAUCCAACACACGCUUCUCCACGAGCAUUUCCCAAGCUCUGGAGCAACCAGAUUUGCUCACCACAAAGAAACUCAGCAUUGACAUUUAACACCCUUGAAAAGAAAAGACCCAACAAAAAAACCUUCAGGUGCAUUCUGAAGCCCAUUGGAAAUCUGUGUGCCAGACAUUGCUGCUAAAGCUUCCACAGCCUAGAGGCUACGGGAUGGUGUUGGUUGGUCUCUCCUUCCACCCACGUCUUUGGCAUUGAGGGAUGCCAAAGGUGCAGCUAAAGGCUGCAUCAUCGAUAGCUAUUUACAGUCUUGGAACAGCAGACGUACGCCAGAAAUCAGAAUACGUAACGUGGUAUGACUGGAUGAAGAGGUUUGGGCCAAUGACAUUCUGCCUCCGCUCCCCACAGCCAGUGACAAUAUGAAAUGCAAGCCAGUGCCACGUCAGGUAGAGUUGCCAAGAGCAGGAUUUGAUUCACAAUGCACUGCUAUGAAAAGACAAUACUUAAUGUUAUGCAAUCAGAGCAGACCUGCUAAGUCAUCCAGUCCUUCCUCCGUGCUUUCUCCAUAUCCAGCCUUUGAUGGAAUCAGAAUAGUUUAGGUUGGAAGGGACCUUAAAGAUCAUCUAGUUCCAACCCCCCUGCCAUGGGCAGGGACACCUCCCACUGGAUCAGGGGCUCCAAGGCCCAUCCAACCUGGCCUGGAACACCUCCAGGGGUGGAACAGCCACCACUGCCCUGGGCAACCUGGGCCAGGGCCUCCCCACUCUCAUGGUGAAGAAAUUCCUCUUUAUAUCUACUCUAAAUCUGCCCCUCUUCAGUUUAUACCCAUUGCCCCUCGUCCUAUCACUCCAAGCCUUUGUCAACAGCCCCUCCCCAGCUUUUCUGGAGCCCCUUUCAGUACUAGAAAGUACUCCAGUCUCCCUGGAGCCUUCUCCAGGCUGAACAACCCCAACUGUCUCAGUCUGUCCUCAUAUGGGAGCUGCUCCAGCCCUCCGAUCAUCUUCAUAGCCUCCUCUGGACCCGUUCCAAAUAGGAUAGUCCAGAUGGGACGGUUCUCAAAAGGUUCCUGUGCCUUAGGGCUGCCCUGGACUGGGCUCCUGAAGCCCUUGCAGUAACCACGUACUUUGCAACCUCCUCCAAUUCUGCUUCAGUGAAAAUACGGACUCCUCACUGGUGUACUCAAGAGAACGUGGUUAGACACCAGAGGUCAAACUGCUGCUUCCGAGUGAAUUAAAGACAUCACCUUCCCGAACGCAUCAGAACUACAUCCCUGGCUACACUGACUACAUCCCUACACUGACUCUCAGGUGGAGCUUCAACAGUCACUUCUUAAGACCUUGUCCUGUAUUGACUUCCAUAAGAGCUAAACACCUGAGGACUAAGUCAACCAGAAGAACCUGCAGCUGGAGUCAAAAGGAAAAACAACAAUACUAAACCCCACCACCACAAAACAAAACAAAAAAAAAACCCACCUCUGCGUAGGUUUCAUAUCUAAGCUGGGGAAAGGUAGCAUGCCAUGAGAAUUACAAAGGCACAUAUUUCUUAGCUGCAUAAUGCAGUUCUAAUAAACAAUCCCUAUGCCUUGCUGGUGUGUUAAUUGUUAAUCAACCCAACAAUGGCCUGUGAAUUUUCUUUUAAAAGACUUCACAUCACUUACAGCCUAUCCAUCAUGACGGUGCAAUAGAAAUUAUGUCUUCCGGGGAAAAUAAACAGUAAAAAUUUAAAAUUUGACAUUGUAACAGACAAAAACUGCGAAAUAGUUUGCAAAAAGUGCUAAGUCCUUCAUAGGGCUUCACCUGGAAUUCUUCUAGAGCUAAUCCACAUACCAAUAAUAAUACCAAUGAUAACGCAAACACAAAUGGAAACAUAAAU
Molecule: long non-coding RNA, 6418 nt
Organism: Cuculus canorus (common cuckoo)
Lineage: Eukaryota; Metazoa; Chordata; Aves; Cuculiformes; Cuculidae
Exons: 3
Source: RefSeq, a predicted model, not a curated record